Molecule: ribosomal RNA, 766 nt
Filed under: Staphylococcus aureus
Lineage: Bacteria; Bacillati; Bacillota; Bacilli; Caryophanales; Staphylococcaceae
Description: bacterial SSU rRNA
Rfam family: Bacterial small subunit ribosomal RNA
Source: RNAcentral
GAUGAACGCUGGCGGCGUGCCUAAUACAUGCAAGUCGAGCGAACGGACGAGAAGCUUGCUUCUCUGAUGUUAGCGGCGGACGGGUGAGUAACACGUGGAUAACCUACCUAUAAGACUGGGAUAACUUCGGGAAACCGGAGCUAAUACCGGAUAAUAUUUUGAACCGCAUGGUUCAAAAGUGAAAGACGGUCUUGCUGUCACUUAUAGAUGGAUCCGCGCUGCAUUAGCUAGUUGGUAAGGUAACGGCUUACCAAGGCAACGAUGCAUAGCCGACCUGAGAGGGUGAUCGGCCACACUGGAACUGAGACACGGUCCAGACUCCUACGGGAGGCAGCAGUAGGGAAUCUUCCGCAAUGGGCGAAAGCCUGACGGAGCAACGCCGCGUGAGUGAUGAAGGUCUUCGGAUCGUAAAACUCUGUUAUUAGGGAAGAACAUAUGUGUAAGUAACUGUGCACAUCUUGACGGUACCUAAUCAGAAAGCCACGGCUAACUACGUGCCAGCAGCCGCGGUAAUACGUAGGUGGCAAGCGUUAUCCGGAAUUAUUGGGCGUAAAGCGCGCGUAGGCGGUUUUUUAAGUCUGAUGUGAAGGCCCACGGCUCAACCGUGGAGGGUCAUUGGAAACUGGAAAACUUGAGUGCAGAAGAGGAAAGUGGAAUUCCAUGUGUAGCGGUGAAAUGCGCAGAGAUAUGGAGGAACACCAGUGGCGAAGGCGACUUUCUGGUCUGUAACUGACGCUGAUGUGCGAAAGCGUGGGGAUCAAACAGG